This 489-nucleotide ribosomal RNA is filed under the name uncultured bacterium. RNAcentral's name for it is "partial 16S ribosomal RNA". It matches the Rfam family "Bacterial small subunit ribosomal RNA", at positions 30 to 506 of the family's 1533-position model. The record is from RNAcentral.
AUUGAACGCUGGCGGCAGGCCUAACACAUGCAAGUCGAACGGUAACAGGAAGAAGCUUGCUUCUUUGCUGACGAGUGGCGGACGGGUGAGUAAUGUCUGGGAAACUGCCUGAUGGAGGGGGAUAACUACUGGAAACGGUAGCUAAUACCGCAUAACGUCGCAAGACCAAAGAGGGGGACCUUCGGGCCUCUUGCCAUCGGAUGUGCCCAGAUGGGAUUAGCUAGUAGGUGGGGUAACGGCUCACCUAGGCGACGAUCCCUAGCUGGUCUGAGAGGAUGACCCGCCACACUGGAAAUGAGACACGGCCCAGACCCCCACGGGAGGCAGCGGGGGGGAAUAUCGCACAAUGGGCGAAAGCCUGAUGCAGCCAUGCCGGGUGUAUGAAGAAGGCCUUGGGGCUGUAAAGUAUUUUAGGGGGGGAGGAAGGGAGUAAAGUUAAACCCUUUGCUCAUUGACUUUCCCCGCAAAAGAAGCCCCGGCUACCCCCGU